Molecule: non-coding RNA, 2588 nt
Organism: Camellia sinensis
Lineage: Eukaryota; Viridiplantae; Streptophyta; Magnoliopsida; Ericales; Theaceae
Source: RefSeq, a predicted model, not a curated record
UCUCUCUCUCUCUCUCUCUCUCUCUCUCUCUCUCGUCUAGUCUUCCACGAAUGGAGAUCAAAGUCACAGGCUGUGCAAGGAUCGAAGAGGCUUCUUGAAGAUCUCUAUUUUUCCAAUAGCUUAUUUGUUCGAAAGAGAUCUCAUUGAAGAGUACAUCUUGCUGGGUCAGCGGGUCUAGAUCUACGGCGUCAAGACAUCAACAAUCUUUUGCCUGGAUGAUAGAAAGUGACGAUGAUUUAUUAUGGAAAGCCAAUAUAAGAGAGACAAAGAAGAACUUGCAGCUAGGGGAAUGGAGUUCAUGAACUGGUGAAUACCUUUUGAUAUUCAUGUCAAUAAAGUGGAUUUAUUGAUUCUUUCUGGAUCCUUUAAUGCAUUUUAAAAGUACCUUAGUCAGAUACAUGUGAAUUAAAGAUUGCGCAUGAAACUUUAGACUCCAAGACUUUUACCCCAAUUAUCUUCUCAUGUUUCAAUAUUAAAUUAUUGAGUAUGAAAAAGGUGUUGUCAUCGCAAAAAGUAUUUCAUUACAUUGUGUAUUGGCAUCACAUGAUAAUUUCAUUUCUGGUGCCUAAAUGUAUGCACAAGAUGCUCAAUGUGCUGUCAUAAUAAUUCUCUAUAACUGUAAUAACCCGACCCUCAUAUCUGUUUCGGGUAUAUUUUCGGUCCUUUAUUCUGUGCACUUAAUUGCUUACUGUGAAAUGUCGUGUGAAAUGAGGUUUAAUUAAGUAAGACGUAUGAAUAUUGGUUCAUCUCUGUUUGAUAAGGAAGUAUCUGUCACAAUUAAAGUGUUCGAAUCAGAAAGUGAGAGCCUUAGAGGCUUGAUAAUCCAAAAUUGAUUUUAUAUUUGAGAUCAUCCAAAAUUGAUUUUAUAUUUGAGAUCAGCAUAAUUUGUAGGUAAUAAUAGGCAUUUCGGUGAAAUUUCAAUUUGGGAUGAUUAAACGAUUGAUUUUCGUCGUAUUCACAUUUUAUAAAGAUCUAUGUACCAUGCUCCUUAAACACUUUGACUAGGAAGCUUCAUUUUAAAUAUCUCCUGAGGGAAAGGAUUGGGUUAGAGAGGGGUUUUAGAGGUAGGGUGAAGAAGAUUAUCAAAGGAGGUUGAGAAUUUGAGAGACUUAAAACUCAAGGUAUGUAAAUUUUAUAUAGGUUGUACCUUAAUUACCUCCUCUCUUGUCUUGGAUAGGAAUUUCUUGAGUAUGCGUAGAAUUUUCUUUCAUAUGGGAGGUGUACUGAUUAAAUUGAGAAGAUGUGUUGUUGUUAGAUUAAUUUGGAGUUAAAUUUCAUCCUAUCCCUUAUCUGUACAUGAUCAUUCUCAAUUAUGGACUUAGAUGAUCUUAUUGUAUGUGGAAGCAAUAUUGUAGAGAUUCUACAUGCUUAUGUUGUGCUCAUGAAAUGCAAGGAGCUAAAGAAUUGAUUUGAUAUGUGUUUGUAAGACCUUUGUAUAUGAAUCUUGUUUUAGGAAUUAAAGGAUCUAUUUUGGACCUUGUUGAUGCCACCAAAAAAAUUGGAUUUUUGUAUGAAUUUCGGACUGAAUUUUGCAGAAUCGCCGCACGUGCGGGAGUCAACGCCGCACAUGCGGGAAUUGGUGCAAUUUUGGGUGUUGAACACUGUCUAAAAAGCACGUGCGGGGCAUCACUGCCGCACGUGCGGGAGUAUUUGCCGCAUGUGUGGGGCCCACAGCCGCACGUGCGGCCCAAGUUCAAAAACAUGGAUUGCUCCAUUUGACCUGUUUGACCCUCUGGGAUGGUUGAAAUUAAUAUUUGAACUUUUUAAAGUGCUUCUUAAUUUACCGGAAAUUAACGACUGAAAUGUGAAUUGAAGAAGAAUUUGAACUAAAUUGUGAGCUCUAUGUGUGCAGGGCACACUCCGGGAGGAAGUAGCGUCCCGCCACAACACUGUGAGUAAUAGUGCAAUGGAUAUACAUUCAUUUACCGUUAACGCUUAUCGCUAUUAACGUUCUAUUUCCGUAAGUUACUACAUUAUAUGUAUAUUGGUUGGGAAUUGAUGUGAAUGUAAACAUUGAAAGAAUUUGUGUAUACAUGGAUCUUUCUGGGCCGAUGGCCGUUCUGUUAUUUCUGGGCCAAUGGUCGUUCUAUUAUUUCUGGGCCGAUGCCCGUUCUGUUAUAUCCGAGCCUAAGGCCGUUCUGAAAGUAAUACAGCAUUGGACUAACCUUAUGAACUCUGUAGUUACAUACACAUGGUUAUGUAUUAUGAUUUUAAUUGCACAUGGAACUGUGUAAGUACUAUUAUUUAUUGAGCUUUGCUCACUCGGUAUCUUGUCUAUUUCUGUAGGUAGUCAACCCGGGAGCCAAUCUUAACUCCUGAGGCUCAUCUAUUUUUUGUCAACCUCAGUGUGUCCAGGCACUUAGGUGGAGCUGUCCCAUUUUUGUGAACUUUUGUCAAGUUUUGGGUUGUAUUCUAAUUGCCUGUUUAAGGUUAAGAUGUCAAUAAUGUUUUGUUAUACGCCUAAUCUCGGGACUGGAUCUGUAUAUAUGUAUGUAUAUAACCGAUACUCCGAUGCAUGUUUCUGUAUUCUAUUUUCCUGUUGUGAUGUUUGCGAUCCUGGCAUAGUAGUGAUAGCUCAAUGGAUAUGA